RNAcentral lists this ribosomal RNA (1546 nucleotides) under Spirobolellus montanus. Its description in RNAcentral is "SSU rRNA". It matches the Rfam family "Eukaryotic small subunit ribosomal RNA", at positions 17 to 1571 of the family's 1831-position model. The record is from RNAcentral. Lineage: Eukaryota; Metazoa; Arthropoda; Diplopoda; Spirobolida; Spirobolellidae.
CCAGUAAUCAUAUGCUUGUUUCAAAGAUUAAGCCAUGCAAGUGUAAGUACAGCUGAUAAAAACAGUGAAACCGCAAAUGGCUCAUUAAAUCAGUCACAUUUUAAUAGAUCAUACGAUCUUACUUGGAUAACUGUGGUAAUUCUAGAGCUAAUACAUGCCAAGAGUCUUCUCCUCUUCGGGGGAAGGAGCGCACUUAUUAGACCAAAACCAAACUUGGCUCCGGCCUUGUGACGGUGUGGUGACUCUGGAUAAUUUUGCGGAUCGCAUGGUCCUAGUACCGGCGACGUAUCUUUCAAUUGUCUGCCUUAUCAACUUGAUGGUAGGUUAAAUGCCUACCAUGGUUGUAACGGGUGACGGGGAAUCAGGGUUCGAUUCCGGAGAGGGAGCCUGAGAGACGGCUACCACAUCCAAGGAAGGCAGCAGGCACGUAAAUUACCCAAUCCCGGCACGGGGAGGUAGUGACGAAAAAUAACGAUGCGGGACUCUUACGAGGCCCCGUAAUUGGAAUGGGGGUUGCUUAAACAACCUAUCCCACAAACUAUUGGAGGGCAAGUCUGGUGCCAGCAGCCGCGGUAAUUCCAGCUCCAAUAGCGUAUAUUAAAGCUGUUGUGGUUAAAAAGCUCGUAGUUGGAUGUCACUCAAAGCCGGGCGGUCCGCCUUAAUGGUGGGAAUCCUGCACGUGCGGAGAGUACUUGGCCGGCUGCCCACGAUGCUCUUAGCCGGGUGUCGGUUGCGGAGGGCCGGCCGAGUUACUUUGAAAAAACUGAAGUGCUCAAAGCAAGCAAAGCUUGGACACUCAAGCAUGGAAUAACGGAAUACGACCUCUGGGUCUAUUUUGUUGGUAUCCGGACGUGGAGGUAAUGAUUGACUGGGACUGCCGGGGGCAUCCGUAUUGCAGCGCGAGAGGUGAAAUUCUUGGACCGUUGCAAGACGACCUAGAGCGAAAGCAUUUGCCAAGAAUGUCUUCAUUAAUCAAGAACGAAAGUUAGAGGUUCGAAGGCGAUCAGAUACCGCCCUAGUUCUAACCAUAAACGAUGCCAACCAACAAUUAGCGAGCAUUCCUCGAUAUGAUGCUGCUGGCAGCUUCCGGGAAGCCAAAGAUUUUGGGUUCCAGGGGAAGUAUGGUUGCAAAGCUGAAACUUAAAGGAAUUGACGGAAGGGCACCACCAGGAGUGGAGCCUGCGGCUUAAUUUGACUCAACACGGGGAACCUCACCCGGCCCGGACACUUGAAGGAUUGACAGAUUGAGAGCUCUUUCUCGAUUCAGUGGAUGGUGGUGCAUGGCCGUUCUUAGUUGGUGGAGUGAUUUGUCUGGUUAAUUCCGAUAACGAACGAGACUCGAGCCUAUUAAAUAGGCGGAGGAUAGUAAGGUCCUCUACGCUCUUCUUAGAGGGACAGGCGGCUUUCAGCCGUACGAAAUAGAGCAAUAACAGGUCUGUGAUGCCCUUAGAUGUCCGGGGCCGCACGCGGGCUACACUGAAGGAAUCGGUUGGUGUUCAUCCCUGCUCCGUAAGGACUGGGUAACCCGCCGAAACUCCUUCGUGAA